RNAcentral lists this ribosomal RNA (492 nucleotides) under uncultured bacterium. Its description in RNAcentral is "SSU rRNA". It matches the Rfam family "Bacterial small subunit ribosomal RNA", at positions 26 to 518 of the family's 1533-position model. The record is from RNAcentral.
AGGAUAAACGCUGGCGGCGUGCCUAACACAUGCAAGUCGAACGCCCUUUUCCUUCGCAAGAGGGGGGAGGGAGUGGCGGACGGGUGAGGAACACAUGGGUGACCUACCUUUCAGUGAGGAAUACCGGCGAGAAAUCGCCGACAAGACCGCAUGAGCUUCUCUCGGUAAGCGAGGGAAGGAAAGCUCUUUUUCGUGAGAACGGAGGGGGCGCUGGAAGAUGGGCCUGUGGCCGAUUAGCUAGUUGGUGAGGUAAUGGCUCACCAAGGCGACGAUCGGUAGCUGGUCUGAGAGGACGAUCAGCCACACUGGGAUUGAGAACGGCCCAGACUCCUACGGGGGGCAGCAGUGAGGAAUUUUCCGCAAUGGGCGCAAGCCUGACGGAGCAACGCCGCGUGCAGGAAGACGGUUUUCGGAUCGUAAACUGCUUUUCUCGGGGACGAGAACGGACGGUACCCGAGGAAUCAGCCCGGCUAACUACGUGCCAGCAGCCGC